Molecule: transfer RNA, 72 nt
Filed under: Synthliboramphus wumizusume
Lineage: Eukaryota; Metazoa; Chordata; Aves; Charadriiformes; Alcidae
Description: tRNA-Phe
Rfam family: tRNA
About the family: Transfer RNA (tRNA) molecules are approximately 80 nucleotides in length. Their secondary structure includes four short double-helical elements and three loops (D, anti-codon, and T loops).
Source: RNAcentral
GUCUUUGUAGCUUACUACUAAAGCAUGGCACUGAAGAUGCCAAGACGGCUGCCAUUCUCGCACCCAAAGACA